GAUUAGCUCAGUGGUUAGAGCAGGGGACUCAUAAUCCCUUGGUCACCGGUUCAAAUCCAGUAU
Molecule: transfer RNA, 63 nt
Filed under: uncultured Treponema sp.
Lineage: Bacteria; Pseudomonadati; Spirochaetota; Spirochaetia; Treponematales; Treponemataceae
Rfam family: tRNA
About the family: Transfer RNA (tRNA) molecules are approximately 80 nucleotides in length. Their secondary structure includes four short double-helical elements and three loops (D, anti-codon, and T loops).
Source: RNAcentral